This 417-nucleotide long non-coding RNA is filed under the name Manihot esculenta (cassava). RNAcentral describes it as "long non-coding RNA (MESC_LNC000434)". The record is from RNAcentral. Lineage: Eukaryota; Viridiplantae; Streptophyta; Magnoliopsida; Malpighiales; Euphorbiaceae.
UUUCUUCGCCGCUUUCCGCUCAUGGACGGUCGAUCCAGAUGGCAUAUCAUCGCCGUAGAGUGCUGCUCAGUAUCUCCACUCAUGGCUCAGACGUUUUUUAAGUGUUGAUAUUCACUUGUUGUCUAUUGGGUUCUAUGAUGGCUUGGGGUUGUCCUUUAUAUUCUGUGGUUGUCUGUACUUUGUCAGUUCUCUCUAUCAGUCAAUGGGUAACCAUGCGAGCCUCUGUCACCAGCUUCAUCUCAGGCAGCAGCUGUGGCUGGUGCAACAGGUCGUCUCCUCUUCCCAGCAGGCUAGGAUUGGCCCACAUGUGGGCCUUGUACUCUGCGCUCUGUUGUUUACGGGUUUAGUAGUCUUUAUCUUUUAGCCUUACUUCGAGCUAAGGGUGUGCACUUUCCACGGUUCUUUAUAGAAACCGGA